This 458-nucleotide ribosomal RNA is filed under the name uncultured bacterium. Its description in RNAcentral is "partial 16S ribosomal RNA". It matches the Rfam family "Bacterial small subunit ribosomal RNA", at positions 338 to 795 of the family's 1533-position model. The record is from RNAcentral.
CCUACGGGUGGCAGCAGUGAGGAAUAUUGGUCAAUGGGCGAGAGCCUGAACCAGCUAAGCCGCGUGAGGGAGUACUGCCCUAUGGGUUGUAAACCUCUUUUGUCGGGGAGCAAAAGCCGGACGUGUCCGGCUGUGAGAGUACCCGAAGACAAAGCAUCGGCUAACUCCGUGCCAGCAGCCGCGGUAAUACGGAGGAUGCGGGCGUUAUCCGGAUUGAUAGGGUUUAAGGGGUGCGCAGGCGGAUUUUUAAGUCAGCGGUAAAAUCGUGGGGUUCAACCCUAUCCAGCCGUUGAAACUGGGGAUCUAGAGUGUGCGAGAGGUAUGCGGAAUGCGUGGUGUAGCGGUGAAAUGCGUAGAUAUCACGCAGAACCCCGAUUGCGAAGGCAGCAUACCGGUGCACAACUGACGCUCAGGCACGAAAGCGUGGGUAUCGAACAGGAUUAGAUACCCCUGUAGUC